This 231-nucleotide ribosomal RNA is filed under the name uncultured bacterium. RNAcentral describes it as "partial 16S ribosomal RNA". It matches the Rfam family "Bacterial small subunit ribosomal RNA", at positions 104 to 334 of the family's 1533-position model. The record is from RNAcentral.
GGGUAGCGUAACACGUGAGCAACCUUCCGAAAUAUGGGGGAUAGCCGGCCUAACGGCCGAGUAAUACCGCAUACGCUCUCGAUGAGGCAUUUCAUUGAGAGGAAACCUCCGGGGUAUUUCGAGGGGCUCGCGGCCUAUCAGCUAGUUGGCGAGGUAACGGCUCACCAAGGCAACGACGGGUAGCUGGUCUGAGAGGAUGGCCAGCCACAUUGGGACUGAGAUACGGCCCAG